GUACACACCGCCCGUCGCUGCCCGGGACUGAGCCAUUUCGAGAAAUUUGGGGACCGUUGAUUUAAUUUUUCUAAAUUACUUUGAUGGAAACCAAUUUAAUCGCAGUGGCUUGAACCGGGCAAAAGUCGUAACAAGGUAGCUGUAGGUGAACCUGCUGCUGGAUCAUUA
Molecule: ribosomal RNA, 168 nt
Filed under: Meloidogyne arenaria
Lineage: Eukaryota; Metazoa; Nematoda; Chromadorea; Rhabditida; Meloidogynidae
Also listed under: 1 other name
Description: partial 18S ribosomal RNA
Rfam family: Eukaryotic small subunit ribosomal RNA
Source: RNAcentral